CCAGCUGGAAUUUGCUUAUCAAUUGGUGAUGAUGCAGGUGCUGGUGCUGGUGCUGGUGCUGGACUUUGCUUAUCGACUGGUGGUGAAGGAGCACUAGCAUUUUGAGUGCGAGCACCAUUUGCAGGCUGACUGUUUGCACUGCUGGCAGGCACCCCACUGCCAAAGAGAUAACCUAAGGAACUCUGACCACCACCAGCACUGACCCCACGACCCAUUUCCCGUCUGUUUGGAGUGGCUAAAC
Molecule: long non-coding RNA, 241 nt
Filed under: Glycine max (soybean)
Lineage: Eukaryota; Viridiplantae; Streptophyta; Magnoliopsida; Fabales; Fabaceae
Description: long non-coding RNA (GMAX_LNC002834)
Source: RNAcentral